This 393-nucleotide ribosomal RNA is filed under the name uncultured bacterium. RNAcentral's name for it is "partial 16S ribosomal RNA". It matches the Rfam family "Bacterial small subunit ribosomal RNA", at positions 523 to 918 of the family's 1533-position model. The record is from RNAcentral.
AUACGGAAGGUCCGGGCGUUAUCCGGAUUUAUUGGGUUUAAAGGGAGCGCAGGCUGAUUAUUAAGCGUGACGUGAAAUGUAGCCGCUCAACGGCUGAACUGCGUCGCGAACUGGUAGUCUUGAGUGCGUUCGAUGUAGGCGGAAUUCGUGGUGUAGCGGUGAAAUGCUUAGAUAUCACGAAGAACUCCGAUUGCGAAGGCAGCCUACAAGGCCUUUACUGACGCUAAAGCUCGAAGGUGCGGGUAUCGAACAGGAUUAGAUACCCUGGUAGUCCGCACGGUAAACGAUGGAUGCCCGCUGUUUGCGAUAUAUUGUAAGCGGCCAAGAGAAAGCGUUAAGCAUCCCACCUGGGGAGUACGCCGGCAACGGUGAAACUCAAAUGAAUUGACGGGG